UUGGAUCACCUCCUAACAGGGAGACAAACAAUGAUUUUGAUGUCUGAGUUAUUUAUUCUUAGGCCAAAAUCCUGUCACUUAGGUCGAUCGGUACCUCAACUUUUUAGCUAAGAGAGUUCCAGCAAUGGUUGUCUGCUUAGUGGAGAUUUUUAGUUCCUAAACUUUGUCUAGUUCACAACCCAUUAGGGAUGAGACUCCUGGGCCAUUAGCUCAGGUGGUUAGAGCGCACCCCUGAUAAGGGUGAGGUCCCUGGUUCAAGUCCAGGAUGGCCCAUUCGGUGUAGGGGGUUUAGCUCAGUUGGUAGAGCGCCUGCUUUGCAAGCAGGAUGUCAGGAGUUCGAGUCUCCUAACCUCCACUGACUACCAAAAUCCCCAUCUCCAAAACCUGGAGUAUGAACUCGUAUGGAUUGUGAUUUAGAUUUGUCCGCUAGAUGACCCUAGCUUCUUGUCAUUUUAAGGAAUGGAAAUGAUUCCGUGAUUUGAUUGAUAGGAUGCUGGGCUCGAUGCAAUGUAUUGAGAGAUCAAUGCAUUGUUUUGAUGUCUAGCCGAACCUUGACAACUGCAUAGUUUAAGUCUGGAAAGAAUAAAGCAUCUUUAUGGAUGCAUCAUUUUUUCGUGUUUACGCAUGAAGGAGUGAUGUUAAUUCUAAAGCAAGAGCCGAGACUCCAGUAUGUUCUUUCAAAUGUGUCGAGCAUUUGAGAGUUUGAUUUUAAUUUCUAAUUUUAGAUUCUAAUUUUAGAAAUUAGAAGAAUCUGUUUCAACAACAGCAAGCGUGCUGGAGAUACAUUGGUCAAGCUACAAAGGGCUCACGGCGGAUACCUUGGCACACAGAGGCGAUGAAGGA
This 843-nucleotide transfer RNA is filed under the name uncultured Synechococcus sp. RNAcentral describes it as "partial contains 16S ribosomal RNA, 16S-23S ribosomal RNA intergenic spacer, and 23S ribosomal RNA". The stretch from base 283 to 355 matches the Rfam family "tRNA". The record is from RNAcentral. Lineage: Bacteria; Bacillati; Cyanobacteriota; Cyanophyceae; Synechococcales; Synechococcaceae.